GACUCAUGGCUAAAUGGUAGAGCCUCGGCAUGGUACGCUGGAAGUACAGGGUUCGAUUCCUGUAUGAGUUA
Molecule: transfer RNA, 71 nt
Organism: Daphnia magna
Lineage: Eukaryota; Metazoa; Arthropoda; Branchiopoda; Diplostraca; Daphniidae
Rfam family: tRNA
About the family: Transfer RNA (tRNA) molecules are approximately 80 nucleotides in length. Their secondary structure includes four short double-helical elements and three loops (D, anti-codon, and T loops).
Source: Rfam